This 301-nucleotide ribosomal RNA is filed under the name uncultured bacterium. Its description in RNAcentral is "partial 16S ribosomal RNA". It matches the Rfam family "Bacterial small subunit ribosomal RNA", at positions 509 to 807 of the family's 1533-position model. The record is from RNAcentral.
CAGUCGCCGCGGGAAUACGGAGGAUCCGAGCGUUAUCCGGAAUUAUUGGGUUUAAAGGGUGCGUAGGCGGAUAGAUAAGUCAGUGGUGAAAGACGGUGGCUCAACCAUCGCAGUGCCGUUGAUACUGUUUAUCUUGAAUAUGGAUGAGGUAGGCGGAAUGUGGCAAGUAGCGGUGAAAUGCAUAGAUAUUACUUAGAACACCAAUUGCGAAGGCAGGUCACUAAGAUUUAACUGACGCUGAUGGACGAAAGCGUGGGGAGCGAACAGGAUUAGAGACCCCGGUAGUCCCUGUCUCUUAUAC